This 253-nucleotide ribosomal RNA is filed under the name uncultured bacterium. RNAcentral's name for it is "partial 16S ribosomal RNA". It matches the Rfam family "Bacterial small subunit ribosomal RNA", at positions 524 to 776 of the family's 1533-position model. The record is from RNAcentral.
UACGUAGGGUGCAAGCGUUGUCCGGAAUCAUUGGGCGUAAAGCGCGCGUAGGUGGCUUCGUAAGUCCGUUGUGAAAGUCAAAGGCUCAACCUUUGAAUGUCAGCGGAUACUGCCGGGCUAGAGUCCGGAAGAGGCGAGUGGAAUUCCUGGUGUAGCGGUGGAAUGCGCAGAUAUCAGGAGGAACACCAACGGCGAAGGCAGCUCGCUGGGACGGUACUGACGCUGAGGCGCGAAAGCGUGGGGAGCGAACAGG